CUUAACAUCUAUUUGAAUACACUUCAAGUGUAAAUAGUAUACUAAAAUGGAACAACUUUUUUUUAAAUUCAAGUGCACUAAAAUACACUAAUGAAAAUCAAGAUUCAUGAGCAAUUAAGCACACUUACAGUACAAUUGCAUUGCCUGUCAGGGCCCCUCCUCCCUGAGCUGUCUCCCCUUCCCUUUUGUGUGUCUCCCUUGCCUCUGCCCUUUUGUGUCUGUGUUGUUUGUAUCCGUCAGUCUCUUUUUGUCCCUCAGUGCCCUGAAUCCCCACUUCCAGUGAAGGCACCCCGGCACCAAGGCUGCUGCAAUCACUGCUCAUCUUCCACACCUGCUCCAGUCCACGCCUGGGGCUGAUUGCCACUCUCCCUAUAUCAGGGAGAGGUCGGCCUUCAGUCCCUGCCAGAUAAUUGUCUCAGCCACACGCCGUUCACCCUCCACCACCGGUCACUGCUUUUGUUCCCUCCUCAACUGGAUCUUCUGUUUGGACUCCUCGUGCCGACCUCUGCCUUGCCCUCCGUGCCUCUGGACCCCCAGCCUGUUUCCGACUGUCCUCGCCAGCCGUUUGUACUUCUGCUGAGCUCCAACCUACUCAUACUGGCUCCCAUAACCUCCACGACGGAGCCCCAUCCACAUUAUUCAUUUUCCAAUAAACAGUUGUAUUGUUGAA
Molecule: long non-coding RNA, 670 nt
Organism: Perca flavescens (yellow perch)
Lineage: Eukaryota; Metazoa; Chordata; Actinopteri; Perciformes; Percidae
Exons: 2
Source: RefSeq, a predicted model, not a curated record